AACAUAAUAGUAUUCAUAUGGUCAAACAUGCAUGUGAAAUCCUUGGUGGGCUUUUGCUUUGGAAUUUCUACAGCUCAUCACAGUGUUCCCAGAGUCACAAAGUCCCUUGUGGUAGAAAAAGCUGCAGGACCCACCACUUCCACUGGCCAUCACCAGGACCAGCCAUUCCAUGCCACCAGCCUUGUCCUACAUCAGAGGAGAGGAAUUAUUGGGAAAGAUUUGUAAUUUUUACAGCUUUGUUCUGCCUAAAGGAAGAUAUUCUGGUCAAGUCUAUGAGGCUCAGCUUUGUUUCCUGAAUUUUGAAAGCAAAACUUCUCAGGAGGAUAAACAAUGGGCAUUUAAGCUAGAGUCUUAAAAGGGAAUAAAUGUUGCUUGUGUUAUGUCUCAUAAAGCUUGAGAAGUGUAAGAUGCAUCUCAAAAGUUAAGAGGAAGACUUAGGGACAGUCAGUGAGGCUCACAGCAACAGUGGGGACAGCAGAGGUGGCUACAGUAAGUUCUGGGGGCUGAGUAUGAGACCAAACUGGGCAGGGGGUUCCUGGAGUCAGGGACAACCAAGCAAGGGUCUAGAGGAGAAGUCACACUAGGAACAGCUGAAGUCACUUGUUCAGCCUGGAGAAGCCCUCACAGCUGUCUGCAGCUUCCUGGUGAGGGACAGUGGAGUGGCAGGCACUGAUCUCUUGUCUCCGGUGACCAGUGACGGGACUCUAGGGAACAGCAUGAAUCUGAGUCAGGGGAGGUUUACGUUGGAUAGUAGGAAAAGGUUCUUCACCUAGAGGGUAGUUGGGCACUGGAACACGCUCCCCAGGUAAGUGGCCACAGCACCAAGCCUGAGAGAGUUCAAGAAGCGUUUGGACAACGCUCUCAGGCACAUGGUGUGACUCUUGGGGUGUCCUGCGCAGGGCCAGGAGACGGACUUAAUGGUCUUUGUGGGUCCCUUCCAGCUCAGGAGAGUCUGUGAUUCUGUGAUUCAGUGAAGAGCUGAGUGUCCCGCAGGAACCGACAGCUCUGGCAGGCGGGACUGAUGUGCCCGGGGCGUUGCCAGGGGCAACCGCGGCAGAUUCCGGUGACGCCGGAAUCUUCCGUCGGCGAGGCGAGCGGCGACAGCGAUGGCGCUACACAUCCUGUCAAGAUUUACUGCCCACCCCCACUGGAAUGAACCUUCCGCUGGUGAAAAAAAUUACUGCAGCACAACCACCUGUGUCGACUGCUGGACCGCAUACGAAACAAUGGACAAAGAAUUCUAAUCACCAUUCAUCACAAUGCAGAAGAGAUACACCAUGGCUUGGAAAGAAUAAACCUCAGUGGUGGGACAUUUUUUUCAUGUGGUUACCACAAACAAUAGGAAUUCUAAAUCUAAUGCUGCAUUGUAUUGGAAUUUUCCUGAUUUAUGUCGUGUUACGCUUAUUGUUGAAUAUUGUUCUAUAUCUUAGAGUGUGCAUAUUAGCAUUGUCACACAGAUCUUUUCAGGUAUACAUAAAAAAAAAAAAUCAGUUAACCUGAUCAAAAAUUUCCCUCGAUUUAUAAUUGCAGCAUAAUGUAUCUCUGUUAAAAGCAUAGAGGCAAAUUGGUGACCACACCAUCACUCUGGAACAAGAGAGAUAACUUCAAUCACAGGGUGGAUUGUGGUGAUACUGGAGGUAGUGGAAACAGGUCCCUUGUUGAGGUGACAGACGAAUCCCUACUGGCCUCCUGUGCCUUCCCAGGGGCCCUUAAACAAGAGGUAUGAGGCUCUGGAACAUGAGGGACAGGCAAAUGACAAUGUAGAUGAAGAUCCAUCCUGGGGAUUGCCUAGGGCCAGUCAGUGAACCCCACACAUUAAAACUGCCUCAAGUUCAAUUUUCACCAAAGUCAAACUUCUAGUAGCAAAAAUUACUUUUUUGUUUUCUUUGUAAUUCCAUGACGUUAGGGCGAGCAGGAGGCACUGCUCUGCAAGUUUAAAAGCCCACUAAAAAGUUUAUAGUUUUUAUCCCCAAAUCCAUAUUGUCUAAUUAGCAUCCUCUAUCACACAACAUAUUCAAAUCCUGUGCUUCCAAUAAUCACCUCCAAAAGAAUGAAAUUUCAGUAUUUGAUCCCCAAGAAAGGUGAUACAGAUAGGCAUUACAUAGUUUCCUUUUUUCUUUUGUUAAAUUAAAGCAAUAUUUUAAAUAUCCUGAAUAUAAAUUUUGUUUGCCUCUUUUACUAAAAGGUCUGAAGGAAAGGCAGGAGAUGGUCUUAUUUCCUUAGCAACAGAGUCAGGUGUGAUUUAUGCCACUGUAUGUUCCUGCAGCUGUCUCCAAGCAACAAAACAAACUGCAGUGCCAACUCUUGUAGGCACAAUAUAUGGAGAGGGCUGAGAGAAAACUUUGGAGCCUGAAUAUCUAUCCCUGGCAUCAAAGAAGAGGCAAGACUGAACAGACAUGGGUUUUUCAUAGAAAUAAAUAAAUAAUCUAAGCAUAUCAGUUCAGCCUGCCAAAUCCUCAGCAUGCAAAGAAUAAUCUACUUUAAAUCACUCAGUUUAGAAGACAGCUGUAGAUGUCUUAACACUUUACCAAGGCUUUGCCUUAGCUUAUGAAAGUGGUACCACUCUGUCUCCUGUCUCUGAGCUCAGAGGAAUCUACUCAGAGUCUCUGUUCAGCAGUUCUUGCAGAAAAUGGAGUAAUUGCAUAGAAGAAAAAUCAGUAAUAAUUUACUGUUAAAGUAGUUGCCAGAAUUUGCCAAACUUAAUUUGCCAUUUCAAAGCUAUUUCCUCUUUGAAGUAAAGAGGCUUGCAUCUAUGAUUGUAUCAUGUUGGCAAACACUGUUUCUAAAUAACAACUGUAAAUCUAGGGAGGCUUGCCAAAUACAAUCAUGACAGAUAGUGAUAUUUUCCUGAAAAAAAUUUACAGUUUUUGUUAAGGUGAAAUUUGCUUUGGAAGCUGAGAUAUUAUGAGCGAAAGCUGCUGUUUAUGCAUCAGCCUCCACAAGGCAAUGCUUUUUAGGUGCUUUUCAGGUGCAGAGCUAAGACCUGUGGGUGAAAGCAAGAAAGCAAGCAACCACUUGCUUGUGUCAACAUUUUGUCUCCACUACUAUCUUAGUCUUACUGGAAAUUCAUAAAACCUCUGAAAUGCUGGGAUCUCCCCAGUGGUCGCCACCCGCUGAUGCUGGAACCAAUGUACCAUUGUUUCACACUUCUGAGCACAUGCUGUCCAUGCCAGCCUUGAUGCAGAGCAGGCAGAGAGCAUCACCUCUCCCUGGCAUUUCCCUGCCACAUCAGCAUGAGCAUGAACUUGGUGUGUUUUCUUUCAGUCUGUGUCAAAUGGAAAACACCCGCAGGCCAGGGUCCUCCCCCUCUUGUAGCCUGGGUGUAACACCAGCAUCUACAGCUUCCAUUGUCAGUAAGCAGAGGAAAAACUUUUAAAAGACCAGUAGACCAGCCCUCAUUUUUAGGGUUCAGCUUCAAAUGGCAACAAUGAUGUGGCUGCAUGAAGAUCUCUUGAGAGCCGGGUCACUAGGACUAGAUUUGUAUCUCUACUCCUGGCUGCACUGGUCAGGGUUUAUCCCAGCCCACAGUUAACCACAAUUCCUGACUUUUCCAGACAGAAAUCAAUUUACCACCAUCCUUCAAACCUUCAAGGUUUCAAUUCCUGGGCUUCUACCUAAGCAGUUGUACUCUGAAGUCAGUCUGCCUAAUUUCAGCACAUUAGGCAAUACCCUCCUUGCCUUGUACUUGUGAAGUCUGCUUGAUUGUUUUGGGGUUUUUUUUCACUUGUGUAUGUUUAUGCCAAAUGGUUUCCUCCUCCAUUUCAUUUUUGGAUUUUUUUUUCUUUUGGUUGGUUGGUUGGUUGGUUGGUUGAUUUUUUGGGUUUUUUUCCGUUGUUUUUGGGCCUCAUCCUUUUGGAAAAGUAACAGCAGAGUCUUAAUGCAGGGAUUUUCUACUUAUUAGACCAUCGACCUUUACCUCAUGUAUUUGUACUGAAUUUAAAAGUCAUAUUUCUGUCAAGACCUUCUCUACGAGAGUUCUCACUGAAGUCUUUUUGCAAUACUCUACCAAAAUUCUCAUCAGCUGGUGGCUGUUCCUUAAUUUAAAAAGAGCCUAAAACUGUAAUGCAUAAUGUUGAUUUUUUUAAGUAACAUUUUGACCUGAAAUGAUAAAUUCUUGCAGUAGUAUAACCCUGGAUUUAUGCUCAAUAUUGUGUGAAAAAAACUUUAGGCUUUGCACAUAUAAACUCCCAUUGACACUGCUUCUGUAGAUCAGAUCUCACUGCAAUUUUCAAUUUUAAAAAGUAAAUACACAAGAUCUUUUAGACCCGAUGCAGUACCAAAAUCAGGCUUGUUUUUCCAGUUGUUUUUUUUUACCCAACAUAACCAAACACAUAAUUUUACAUCGAAAAGGAAUCUCUCAGAGCUUUGGGAAGUGCUAACUGCCCCUAUAGCUACAAAAUAGUUAGGAUGAGUCUAGUUUCUUUUAUAAGCUACGAAAGAACUUUAACCAUGGAAAUAGUAUCACCAGAUUUGUGGGACUACCUGCAUGUCUGGUUCUAUCAACAAGCUGAAAUACCUUUUUCCUUAAUUUGGGAUGCAAAUUCUGAUUCAGUUUUAUGGCAUACACCUGUCUUCUACUCCUGCGCUGCUUACCCUGUAAAAUGGCACGAGAUACUAAAAUUGAGAAACUGAUUCUCUACUGGAAACACAAGGAAAGGCUUUCUGGGUCUCACAGAGACCCAAAGAGCCUCUAGAUACUUCUAGAAAAAUAUAAAUGUCCCUCUUCUCACAUACAUGCAUUUGCAUGAGGUUUUCUGGUAUAAAACCUCUGCAAAAGGAGAACCAGACCUGUGGAAAAUGCAAAUGCAUUUUGGUUGUUUUAAUAUUCACCUGCUUGUUAUUUGUAUCUGUAAUUUUACACAAUUUUAUAUACUUUUAAUAUGAAGUUUGAAAUUACCACAAUGGAAAUAUAACUCUCUUUUAUGCUUUCCUGGGAUUGCAGCCUCUUAUACUUGAAAGAAUGAAAAAAAUGCUUCAAGGCACACAAUUUUUUUUUUUUUUUACUUCGAUAAUCUCUCCUGCAGGAACAUUUAAAGGAUGAGCUAAAAGUGUCAAAAGUUUUAUUAUUCAUCAGCAGACUAUCCUUUUCAUUAGCCAUUAUGCCUCAUGUGCACUUGUUUGCUUCUAGGAAGCUCAUUUUAUAUGGCGUACCUUUGGUUUUGUUCAUUAUUUUAAUUGAAAUAAGCACCCAACAGUUGUUAGAGCUAAGGUUUUACCUUAAUCUUUUACCCUUUAGCUUGUUCAUAAAUACCAAUUUCUUCAGUGUCCUAGUGAGGCUGCUCAUGGAUUUUCAGUCUGUGUUUAGUGCUGCAUAGAGAGCAGUCAGACUAUGGGAUAAUAGAAGACAGAUUUCUACACUAGUCCUAGUAGAACUAAUUAAAUUUGGAGGUGAAACGGGCUGUCAGCAAGCCUGUGUGUCAUAGUUCCCUUGGAAGAGUUGGAGGUAGUCUUUUCCAUCAAAUCACUGCAAUACCACUCCAUUUCUAGGAGUAAGUUGAUGCAAAACAGUAAUAAUUAAAUCCACCACCUGAGAAGCCUGGGAGGAAGAUGAAUUUAAUGCAAACCCAGACACAGCCACGGGGUUUGUAUGGAAAUUGUGCCCUCAGGGCUGGACAGCAGCAUCUGGGGACCCAAACACUGGCCAGCAACUUCAGGUUGGUGGGUGCCCACUCUAAAAGGACGUUCUCCAUAAAUCCUGCCCUCUCUCCUCCUCGAAACUCCUGAAAUGAACUUAAGGUCCACCAGACACUCUCCUCUCCCCAUUAAUCCACAAAGCUAUGGCUUGUCGUGAGGGGAGAGGUCAAGAGAGGAGCACAGUCCUAUGUCCCCUCUCUUCAUUGGACCAAAAAGGUUAAAUGGGAUGAUGGCGGACAAGCACCUUCCCUCCUGGAAUGACUCUCUACACUUCAGGAAAGAAACAGUGAACAGACUUUGCUUCUGAACCCUUUUGAGGCAGCUCAACAUUGAAGUCUUUAUGUCCCAAAAUCUACACUUUCUGCUUUUCCUUCCUUUCUUAUUGUCAUAGAAAUGAAAAAGCAUCGGUGAAAUGUCUAUGCUUGACAUUUUUGAGAUGAGUUUCAAGCUCUUCCAGCAGCACUGAAGUAUGUAUCUGGAAGUUUGGGGUUUUUUGAUUGGUUGGCGGGUUUUUUUUUCCCUAUUCUUUUCCUUUGACUUCCAUUGAACUGUGUUGCACAUUUGCAAAUUUCUCUCAAUGACAUACAUGUCCUUUCCUGAACAUUUUUCUCCAGUCUAUGUGACUUGAAAAAAUGCCUAAUGAAGUAGUCUUCUGUGCCUGUACCCUGCAUCCUAAACACACGUUAGCCCUAGAGGUACCAAUUCCCACUUGACAUGCAAAACCCAUCUGCAAGUAGUUCUUGCUUCUUUACUCACUGUCUAGAAGAGUAAUUUUUCAUUCCCUGAUGAAGCUUUAACCAGUAAAAGAUCACAAUGGCUCCAUUUAAAAUUUCCCUAAACAGCAAUAAAAUGUUAUUAAUCCCUGCCCCCUCCCUGGUCCCAGAUCCACUAACAGCCAUCAUAAACACAGCAGAUUGGGCUAUUUGUCUGUGCUUCAGCUCAUGUAGGAAUAAUUUUCUGUUUGAUUCUUCAAUCAGAUCUGCAGACUUUCAAUCAGCUGCCUCUUGUAUUCUCAACCCACACAAGUCAGGAAAAUUGUCAUCUUUUAAAAGCAAAUAUUGUACCUUUCCAGUUACAUUUUCAUUUAAAAAAUAAAUCAAUAGAGUUUGCAACUGAUAACCAGAUUAUGAUUGCUUUUAAGAGUCUGGUAUCUUUCCCAUGAGGUAAUCUGACAGCACAACAAAAUACAUCUAUUUAUUAUGAGGAACACUCAUGUAUUCAAUCAGCCUGUUUUAAAAGAGGCCAUAAAUGAGAUUUAGGAUUUUAAACAGCCUCGGUAACUUUCCUUCCUCUUAAUUUCCAGCUGCUUGAUUUUUAUAAGUCCUUCUCUCCUGAGGAGAGUUUUUAAGAACGCUUAAAGACUUUUAUAUAUGUACAUACAUCUGGAUAUGUACACCUCUACUCAUAUAAUGAAGUAAGAAACUUCUUUUUAUGCCUAUUUCACAGAAUCUAAAAGGUGGCAAGCUCCUUUGUUCUCUGCACAGCUUAUUUGAAGAUGUUCCUCCCUGCAUUGUCCCUGUUUCCUCUCUGCAUCCCUGUUUCCUCUCUACAGCUUUCGCCCCCAGCCCAAAUACAGGCACUGAUCCCUGCCUGAAAACACCUGUCCCAAAAGCAGAGGCAAAGAGCAACUCUAAAAUAAUUAUAUCAAAUAGUGCCCCAGCACUAUUUGUCUUGCAGCAUAGGGCUGUUUGUACAUUCAUAGUACAGGGAAAAUGUUCUUUUCACUCUAAGGUUGGAACUCAGAGUGCAUGAAAAGCAAGACAGAAGAUGCAUGCAGAUAUAUUUUUUAAGUGUUCCUGUAACGCUUUAAAACACUAUUCAUUGGAUGUCUCUGCUUAAUUCUGAAUAGAUUCACUGGGGAUUUUUGUCAUUAAAGAAGGUUUAUGUCUGAAGUGCAUUAUAUUCAUGCUUUAGUACCACAACAUUUCGUUGAAGAGGUUCAGAUGCUGGUCUUAUGCCUGUGAUUGUCACCAGCCAUGGACAUGAUGAGGCUGAGUGAGCACAUUUUCCAUCCCGCCAACACAUGGUCCAUGAUCUCUACCAGUUCCUUGAGCUCCUGGCAGGGGCUGACAAACAGGGUUGUGAUGUGGCGCUGAACUGCUCCCCUGCGUGGGACAGUGUUCAGUGCUGGAGACCAAACUGAGUGCCAAACUCCUGCUCUCACCUGUUGACCUUGGUGGAAAGCCAUGGUACGUUAAGUGGGUAAAGCUAGGAAAAAUAUAUGGUAGAAACUCUGAUGGGUUUUCUGUCUUUUCUCCUCUACGUUGCAUUCCGUUUUCAUGACUGCUGAUAUUACUAUAGGCACCUAAUCAGAAUUAGGUCAAUCUCAUUACAGAGGGAGCAGUGCUUUAAUGUCAGAAAAGGCCAGAAAGCCACCCUUCUGGAAGCAAGAGUUUUCCAUGGAAUGAGAGACAGCUUUAAGGCCAGAGACCCCAGAGUUAAGCCCUUACAUCCAACUCCCCAGAUAGAACAGGAGCAAUGAGAGGACACUUUCUGUUGGAAUCGUUACUAGCAGUAUGUGUUAAAGCAUUCCCAUUUCUAUUCCCUGGCCCAAGUCAGCCCUGUGGUGUAAAAGCUCCAGGAAAGGCAAGGGCAACGCUGCUGCUGGCUCAUCACCUGCAUCACUGCUGGGGGCUGCACGGACUCUGGCCAUGCACAGGGCUAGAGCUACUUUUAUUUCCCUACUUUCACAGAACUGGUUUAAUCAGAGAUGAAGGUUAAAGUUUCUUCCGUUUCAGAACUGCUUGUUUCUAGCAAUUUGGUAUCAUUGUGUACUUGGACCUGCAGUGGUUUCCAGCCACUAAGCCAGCACUGCUCAGGUGCUGUGCACAUCAGGCUGGAGCCCAUCCCACUGCUGCAUGGCUGCAAGCCCUGCACUUCCUGGGACACGAGCUGGGAGAGGCAGCUUCCUGAUGAAAAUGCACAUGCACUCAAGCUCCAUUAGCACCUUUCUUCCUACAAAUUCCAGCAUUUGUUUCUCCUGCUGCCUUCUGGCUGCUUAUCAGUGUUAGGUGCAUCUCACUGCUACUUAACAAAGGCAAAGACACGCCCCCACUGUGACAGUUUUACCAUAUAUAACAUUUCAUAAUGCUCAAAUUACACCAGACUGAGUUAAAAGCCUGAUCUACAUGCUUUUUUCAGGAUGAAUUGAUGUGAAAUACCAUAUCAACACCACAUAAAAGGUAUUCAUUCAUGUUGUCAUGCAUUUUAUUCCUGUUCUCUUUUUGUUUUGCCAAAGAAAAGUUGAUUCAUGUUGUGAAGCUAUAAUUAUAUGUGAGUUUUCAUCUGCUAUAGGUCUUUCACUUCUCUAGUUCCUUCUCUAGAUUUUAUAAUUUUUGAUAACACGAGGAUGCAUACAAUAUCUUCACAAGAUUAAAUAAGACUGCAUAACUAUGUUAAGCUAAAUAUCCAUUUACAAUUCAAUAGCUGCCUACAUCAAUGUAAACAGUGUGUGCCCCGUCUCUAAGAAACUUCAUGUUUGUGCUAUGUGAAGGGAACAUUUAAAUGGAAAUUGGAAGUAAAAUAAAAUACAUGUAGCAGAAUUCAA
Molecule: long non-coding RNA, 9181 nt
Organism: Pseudopipra pipra
Lineage: Eukaryota; Metazoa; Chordata; Aves; Passeriformes; Pipridae
Exons: 2
Source: RefSeq, a predicted model, not a curated record